AUUGAACGCUGGCGGCAUGCCUUACACAUGCAAGUCGAACGGCGGCACGGGUGCUUGCCCCUGGUGGCGAGUGGCGAACGGGUGAGUAAUACAUCGGAACAUGUCCUGUAGUGGGGGAUAGCCCGGCGAAAGCCGGAUUAAUACCGCAUACGAUCUACGGAUGAAAGCGGGGGACCUUCGGGCCUCGCGCUAUAGGGUUGGCCGAUGGCUGAUUAGCUAGUUGGUGGGGUAAAGGCCUACCAAGGCGACGAUCAGUAGCUGGUCUGAGAGGACGACCAGCCACACUGGGACUGAGACACGGCCCAGACUCCUACGGGAGGCAGCAGUGGGGAAUUUUGGACAAUGGGCGAAAGCCUGAUCCAGCAAUGCCGCGUGUGUGAAGAAGGCCUUCGGGUUGUAAAGCACUUUUGUCCGGAAAGAAAUCCUUGGCCCUAAUACGGUCGGGGGAUGACGGUACCGGAAGAAUAAGCACCGGCUAACUACGUG
RNAcentral lists this ribosomal RNA (486 nucleotides) under uncultured bacterium. RNAcentral describes it as "partial 16S ribosomal RNA". It matches the Rfam family "Bacterial small subunit ribosomal RNA", at positions 30 to 507 of the family's 1533-position model. The record is from RNAcentral.